RNAcentral lists this ribosomal RNA (455 nucleotides) under uncultured bacterium. RNAcentral's name for it is "bacterial SSU rRNA". It matches the Rfam family "Bacterial small subunit ribosomal RNA", at positions 340 to 786 of the family's 1533-position model. The record is from RNAcentral.
UACGGGAGGCAGCAGUGGGGAAUAUUGCACAAUGGGCGCAAGCCUGAUGCAGCCAUGCCGCGUGUAUGAAGAAGGCCUUCGGGUUGUAAAGUACUUUCAGUCGUGAGGAAGGUGUUAAGGUUAAUAACCUUAGCAAUUGACGUUAGCGACAGAAGAAGCACCGGCUAACUCCGUGCCAGCAGCCGCGGUAAUACGGAGGGUGCGAGCGUUAAUCGGAAUUACUGGGCAUAAAGGGCACGCAGGCGGUUAAUUAAGUUGGAUGUGAAAUCCCCGGGCUUAACCUGGGAAUGGCAUUCAAGACUGGUUAGCUAGAGUCUUGUAGAGGGGGGUAGAAUUCCAUGUGUAGCGGUGAAAUGCGUAGAGAUGUGGAGGAAUACCGGUGGCGAAGGCGGCCCCUGGGACAAAGACUGACGCUCAUGUGCGAAAGCGUGGGGAGCAAACAGGGAUUAGAUACC